GAUGAAGAACGCAGCGAAAUGCGAUAAGUAAUGUGAAUUGCAGAAUUCAGUGAAUCAUCGAAUCUUUGAACGCACAUUGCGCCCCUUGGUAUUCCGGGGGGCAUGCCUGUCCGAGCGUCAUUGCUGCCCUCAAGCACGGCUUGUGUGUUGGGCCCCGUCCUCCGAUCCCGGGGGACGGGCCCGAAAGGCAGCGGCGGCACCGCGUCCGGUCCUCGAGCGUAUGGGGCUUUGUCACCCGCUCUGUAGGCCCGGCCGGCGCUUGCCGAUCAACCCAAAUUUUUAUCCAGGUUGACCUCGGAUCAGGUAGGGAUACCCGCUGAACUUAAGCAUAUCAAUAAGCGGAGGA
RNAcentral lists this unclassified non-coding RNA (346 nucleotides) under soil metagenome. RNAcentral's name for it is "partial contains 5.8S ribosomal RNA, internal transcribed spacer 2, and large subunit ribosomal RNA". The stretch from base 1 to 120 matches the Rfam family "5.8S ribosomal RNA", at positions 35 to 154 of the family's 154-position model. The record is from RNAcentral.